RNAcentral lists this ribosomal RNA (460 nucleotides) under uncultured bacterium. Its description in RNAcentral is "partial 16S ribosomal RNA". It matches the Rfam family "Bacterial small subunit ribosomal RNA", at positions 338 to 795 of the family's 1533-position model. The record is from RNAcentral.
CCUACGGGCGGCAGCAGUGAGGAAUAUUGGUCAAUGGACGCAAGUCUGAACCAGCCAUGCCGCGUGCAGGAAGACGGCUCUAUGAGUUGUAAACUGCUUUUGUCCGAGGGUAAAUCCCGAUACGUGUAUCGGGUUGAAAGUAUCGUACGAAUAAGGAUCGGCUAACUCCGUGCCAGCAGCCGCGGUAAUACGGAGGAUUCAAGCGUUAUCCGGAUUUAUUGGGUUUAAAGGGUGCGUAGGCGGUGCGGUAAGUUAGAGGUGAAAUCCCGGGGCUCAACUCCGGCAUGGCCUCUGAUACUGUCGGGCUAGAGUGCAGUUGCGGCAUGCGGAAUGUAUGGUGUAGCGGUGAAAUGCAUAGAUAUCAUACAGAACACCGAUUGCGAAGGCAGCGUACCAAGCUGCGACUGACGUUGAGGCACGAAAGCGUGGGGAGCAAACAGGAUUAGAUACCCCAGUAGUC